CAAAUUAAAUCAGUCGAGUGUGUCUCCUCCACACGACAUCACCAGCAGUACUUCAGUUGGUCAUCCGCUGUAUCAUCUAGAUCAGAGUACUUCAGCUCGCUACUAUGGUCAUUUACAGCAGCCGCACGUUUGACAUGACAUCACAUCUUCUUCUUUCAGUUUGAGGAGGCCAGCUGGACGAGGUCGUUAACUCUGAUUGAUUUCGUGUGUGUCUAUGUGUGUGAGAUUGGUGGUGUGUAUGUGCAUGGGGCCGGUUUUAUCGGAAAAAUCGAAUCGGCCGAAAAUUCAAUGUGUUACCGUAGUGUGUGUGUGAUCGGUGGCGUGGUGGUGGUAGGAAAGAAACAGAAUCAAAUAUGGCUACCGGGUGGACAUCUUCGUCGUUGACGUCUGCCAAGAAGGAAAAAUUCCACCACACGAAACUGGACGAGAGCAAGGAAUUGCUCAGUUUGUUGUCAAUCCUCCGGGCGUUGGAUGUUCCGGUGACUGAAGAACAAGCCAGGGCCAUUCUCUACCAGUCGGCCAAGACGGGCCUCCAGUGUUCACCAGUGCCAAUCCUCGUGAAAUGCAGGUGAUGAAGUGCUUCGUCGUCAAAUAACCGUCUCACCUUUGGAUUCAUCGCGACGGUCACGUUCACCCGCACUCGUUCCAGGUGGCCGCCGAUUCCAUCGAAGCUGAAAGGCGGACGGUAGCCGAGUGUCAAUCACAGAUGGAUGAAAAGAGGCCUGUCUUGGCCGACUGGUACCGUCGCGAUGAAUCCAAAGGUGAGACGGUAAUUUGACGACGUAGCACUUCAUCACCUGCAUUUCACGAGGAUUGGCACUCGUGAAACACUCGAGGCCCGUCUUGGCCGACUGGUACAGAAUGGCCCAGGCUUGAUCUUCAGUCAUCGGAUCAUCCAACGCCUGGAGGAUUGACAACAAACUGAGCGAUUCCUUGCUCUCGUCCAGUUUCGUGUGGUGGAAUUUUUCCUUCUUGGCAGACGUCAACGACGAAGAUGUCCCCCCGGUGGCCAUCUUUGAUUCUGUUUCUUUCCUACUUCCACCACCGCCACCGAUCACACACACACUACACACUAAGAACGUCGAAGAUUUCCGGAUUUUGAUGAUAGGAUUCCUCCCGUCAAUCGUUAUUACUGCGCUGAAUUUCCCGGUGCCGAUGCUUUUCAGAGCUUUUCUACGAUUCGAACGAUUGCCACUUUAGAAAUUAAGAUUACCCUAGCUCGGACCGUACUGCUACGACUGGCCUCUCUUUUGGUACUUGUUCUGACCUUGUACAGCAGUUUACAAAAAUCUGGCUUGAAUUCUUCUUGCGACUCCGAUGGACUAAAACACGCACCGUGCUGGGAGACGUAUGUCGGCCAACAACUUUACAGGCUUUGCAUCUUCGAUGUUUUCGUCACUCUUCAUAACGCUGUUGAUUGAGCUUCCCUUGUCGUUGAUAUUUCGGCAUUCGGUGCUACCCACUAGUCGCUUGACUUGUGUAGCUAACCCUGAGUUUAAUCUAGUCGGAAGCACCCUUGAUAUGGUUUACAGUCAGUCAAUCUGCUGGCUGGGGAUGUUUUACUGCCCCGUCUUGCCAAUAAUUACCACUGUUAAGUGUGUCAUUGUUUUCUACGUCAAAUAUUUCAGUCUACUUGUUUAUUCAUGUCCACCUUCCCACGUUUAUGGUGCAUCGAGCUCCACUUCUCUUUUUAUGAAUGUACUGUUGGUAUCUUUCAUUUCGUGCGUUUCAUCACGUCACUUCAUUGCGACCUUCAGUCUCUUAUUGUGGACCAUUUCGAGGUUUUGAUACAGUUUGGUCGGCCAUAUCCAGUGAGGUGGAAACGUUGUCAGACACGUUGAAAAAUUUUCUUUUCUUUUUUGGAUCCGCUGGAUUCUUCGUACCCGCUAUUUUGAUUUUACUGGUCGCUCUCUAUUAUUAUCGCUCUAAAGCUGUGGCGAAUCGUGCUGUGGUAGAAUCACUCACGUCACAACUGAUCCUCGAAGCGGAAGAUAAACAAUUUUUUAUUACUAGGUUAACCGCUGUUGGUAAACAGCAAUUGCACGUUUGAAUACUUUAUUGUACACCCCUCAAAUUAUUAUACCCAGAUAUGCUUGAUCGUUAACGUUUUUUCCCUCGUACUCAAUAAUUUACAGAACGCUAAAGCCAAAGUUUUAAUGUACCUACUCCAGCUCAAAUUUAGUUAAAUGUAUUUUAUCGGCGUCGAAAGAAUCAAAAUAAUAAAAUAAAAAACGGAAACCCUGAAAA
Molecule: long non-coding RNA, 2247 nt
Organism: Daphnia pulicaria
Lineage: Eukaryota; Metazoa; Arthropoda; Branchiopoda; Diplostraca; Daphniidae
Exons: 7
Source: RefSeq, a predicted model, not a curated record